GACGAACGCUGGCGGCGUGCUUAACACAUGCAAGUCGAACGGAAAGGCCUGCUUUCCCUUGUGGAUUGCGGGUACUCGAGUGGCGAACGGGUGAGUAACACGUGAGUGAUCUGCCCCUAACUUGGGUAUAAGCCUGGGAAACUGGGUCUAAUUCCCGAUAGGACUGCAGGGUGGUGCCUGUGGUGGAAAACGAUUUUCUAGUGGUUGGGGAUGAGCUCGCGGCCUAUCAGCUUGUUGGUGGGGUAAUGGCCUACCAAGGCGGCGACGGGUAGCCGGCCUGAGAGGGUGGACGGCCACAUUGGGACUGAGAUACGGCCCAGACUCCUACGGGAGGCAGCAGUGGGGAAUAUUGCACAAUGGGCGGAAGCCUGAUGCAGCGACGCCGCGUGGGGGAUGACGGCCUUCGGGUUGUAAACUCCUUUCGACCGCGAGGAAGCCACCUGGUUGGAAGGGUGGUGACGGUAGUGGUAGAAGAAGCACCGGCUAACCACGUG
RNAcentral lists this ribosomal RNA (494 nucleotides) under uncultured bacterium. RNAcentral describes it as "partial 16S ribosomal RNA". It matches the Rfam family "Bacterial small subunit ribosomal RNA", at positions 28 to 507 of the family's 1533-position model. The record is from RNAcentral.